This is a long non-coding RNA of Coffea arabica (coffee), 864 nucleotides long. RefSeq lists it as uncharacterized. NCBI's taxonomy places the organism in Eukaryota, Viridiplantae, Streptophyta, Magnoliopsida, Gentianales, Rubiaceae. The record is from RefSeq and is a predicted model, not a curated record.
CUAGAAUAUUCAUUCAUUAAUUCCUCAUCAUCCUGUUGACAGUCCAGAGGUAGCAAACAACUUUUUACAGGAGUGAGAAUUGGCACACACCACCCAUAGCCAUGGCCGCGAAACCUCUCUUGAUCUUCACCAUCACCGCCUGCAUCCUCCGCAACGUCGCCGUUUCCUCUCCAAACCCCACUUUAACCGCAGCACACGCGGAGCUACUCGAGUAUGGCUUCCCCGUAGGCUUACUCCCUGCCAACCUCCAAACUUACGAUCUCAACCGUACUUCGGGAGACUUCGUGCUGAAGCUAGACGACACGUGUCGCAUCACGCUGCCUCCGGACAACUACUUGGCUACCUACUCUAAAAAAAUCACUGGUAAAAUUGUAGAGAAUCGUAUUGCUGGGCUUGAUGGAAUUGGUGUUAGGGCUUUUUUUAGGUGGUGGGGGAUUAGUGGAAUCAGAUCCAACGGUCAGGAUUUGACCUUCGAGGUUGGCUACAUCACCAAAAGUUUUCCAUCUAAGAAUUUCGAUGAAAGUCCUGAAUGUGAAGGCAAGCGUUCUUCUUCUUAACAAGUUAGUAUGUUGGCCUUUCUGUCAGCUGCUUCCUGGUACUGAAGGAAAUAACGUCUUCAGAGAUGAGGCAUGAUGUAGUGGACAAAUUUAAUUAAAUAACUGGUCAUACUAGCCCAAAAACUGUAUUGAGUUGCCAGGAUAAGCUAUUUUCUCUGUUAGUGAUGUAUAUGUAUGUGAUUUAAUUCACUUAUACGCUGCCUACCUCUCCCUGCCCAUCUUUUGCCUAAGCAGCUAUUUCAUGUCGUUUGUUGUCUAGUUUAUUGGAGUUUUUUACCGUUCUAUAUGAUAAUGUGCCUUUAAAUUA